Molecule: ribosomal RNA, 392 nt
Filed under: uncultured bacterium
Lineage: Bacteria
Description: partial 16S ribosomal RNA
Rfam family: Bacterial small subunit ribosomal RNA
Source: RNAcentral
AUACGGAGGAUCCGAGCGUUAUCCGGAUUUAUUGGGUUUAAAGGGUGCGCAGGCGGCCAUUUAAGUCAGCGGUUAAAUCGUGGGGCUCCACCCCAUUCUGCCGUUGAUACUGGGUGGCUUGAUUGCGGCCGAGGUUGGCGGAAUUCGUUGUGUAGCGGUGAAAUGCAUAGAUAUGACGAAGAACACCGAUUGCGUAGGCAGCUGACCAGACCGCAAAUGACGCUCAUGCACGAAAGUGCGGGGAUCGAACAGGAUUAGAUACCCUGGUAGUCCGCACAGUAAACGAUGAAUACUUGUUUUCGGCGAUAUAAUGUCGGAGGCAAAGCGAAAGCGAUAAGUAUUCCACCUGGGGAGUACGCCGGCAACGGUGAAACUCAAAUGAAUUGACGGGG